RNAcentral lists this ribosomal RNA (392 nucleotides) under uncultured bacterium. Its description in RNAcentral is "bacterial SSU rRNA". It matches the Rfam family "Bacterial small subunit ribosomal RNA", at positions 28 to 420 of the family's 1533-position model. The record is from RNAcentral.
GACGAACGCUGGCGGCGUGCUUAACACAUGCAAGUCGAGCGGUAAGGCCCUUUCGGGGGUACACGAGCGGCGAACGGGUGAGUAACACGUGGGUGACCUGCCUUUAGCUCUGGGAUAAGCCUGGGAAACCGGGUCUAAUACCGGAUAUGACCCCGCGGCGCAUGUUGUGGGGUGGAAAGCCUUGUGCGGCUGGAGAUGGGCCCGCGGCCUAUCAGCUUGUUGGUGGGGUGAUGGCCUACCAAGGCGACGACGGGUAGCCGGCCUGAGAGGGCGACCGGCCACACUGGGACUGAGACACGGCCCAGACUCCUACGGGAGGCAGCAGUGGGGGAAUCUUGCGCAAUGGGCGAAAGCCUGACGCAGCGACGCCGCGUGAGGGAUGACGGCCUCGG